This 963-nucleotide long non-coding RNA is filed under the name Betta splendens (Siamese fighting fish). RNAcentral's name for it is "lncRNA (ENSBSLG00000022668.1)". Lineage: Eukaryota; Metazoa; Chordata; Actinopteri; Anabantiformes; Osphronemidae. The record is from RNAcentral.
AUGAGUUACUUACUGUCUGUCAACUCCUGGACAUCAUCAGACAUGGGUGCGCUUCACAUUGUUCUGGCUGUUCUCUUAGGACCGGUUUCAUGCAGUCAUGGUCAAAUGUUUGGAUCAGUGGUGGAGGUCACAGUCAAACCAGGAGACAACUUCACUCUCUACUGUGACUGCAAAGUGGCAACUGCAGUUUACAUAGUGUGGUUCAGGAACAGCUACAAUGACAAUCAGCCUACUCUCAUUAUGAAAACAUUUCAACGAAAGACCUACAACCCUGAUGAUUCCAAUUAUCUGAUGUUCAUCUCGAAUUUUCACUUUGUGAGGAAUUCAUCUUCAAACUCCUAUGACCUGCUAAUUAAGGACUUCACUGUUUCUAAUGAGGGUCUGUACUACUGUGGAACAGAAGAGAGCAAGGUGGAGGACGAAGAAUACAUAACCCAAAAAUUGAUUUACAAUUAUGGCAAUAUCACAAGACUCAUAUGUAAUGAAAAACUUCAAGAUGUUGGUGAAGACACCAGAGGCCAGAAUGAAGGUGUGUGUUAUGCUGCUGUUGGGAUCCAUCAAGCAAUGAAAAUACUGAAAAUGAAGAAAGGCCAGAUCUCUGUCUGCACAUAUUCUGUCAUCAAUACUUCCAGAGGGUAAUUAGGCCACAAACUGAGGACAACCACCAACAACAACCAGCACUGAAAGGUGUAUUCAUACAGCAGGACUGAUUCUGUCAUUUAGCCUCUAUUUGUAAAAGAUGUACAGCAAAUCCAAAUCAUUAAUAAUAUACUCUUUUUUUAAAUAUAUAGCUCAGAAUGACUAAAUGAACUCCAGAGAGAAACAACUUAGUUAAGUGGUCUUGCUAUUGUAACUGAACACUUUUUGGCUUAUGUAAGGUUGUUUGUAUAGAUCAUGGUCCCAGAUUUAUAUGUACAAUUUUCUUUUUGCAGAGUUACAAUAAAAAUGUUUAUAUAUUUGGCA